CAGCCGUAAACUAUGCGCGUUAGGUGUACUGGUGACCACGAGUCACCGGGGUGCCGAAGGGAAACCGUGAAACGUGCCGCCUGGGAAGUACGGUCGCAAGGCUGAAACUUAAAGGAACUGGCGGGGGAGCACCACAACGGGUGGAGCCUGCGGUUUAAUUGGACUCAACGCCGGAAAUCUCACCGGAUAGGACAGACAUAUGAUAGUCGGGCUGAAGACUCUACUUGAUGAUCUGAGAGGUGGUGCAUGGCGUCAGUGACU
This 261-nucleotide ribosomal RNA is filed under the name uncultured archaeon. RNAcentral describes it as "partial 16S ribosomal RNA". It matches the Rfam family "Archaeal small subunit ribosomal RNA", at positions 748 to 1008 of the family's 1478-position model. The record is from RNAcentral.